RNAcentral lists this ribosomal RNA (254 nucleotides) under uncultured bacterium. RNAcentral describes it as "partial 16S ribosomal RNA". It matches the Rfam family "Bacterial small subunit ribosomal RNA", at positions 524 to 776 of the family's 1533-position model. The record is from RNAcentral.
UACGUAGGGUCCAAGCGUUAUCCGGAAUUACUGGGCGUAAAGAGUUGCGUAGGUGGCAUGGUAAGCGGAUAGUGAAAUGACGAGGCUCAACCUCGUGUCCAUUAUCUGAACUGCCAAGCUAGAGAAUGAGAGAGGUAACUGGAAUUCCCUGUGUAGGAGUGAAAUCCGUAGAUAUAGGGAGGAACACCGAUGGCGUAGGCAGGUUACUGGCUCAUUUCUGACACUAAGGCACGAAAGCGUGGGGAGCAAACGGG